RNAcentral lists this ribosomal RNA (374 nucleotides) under uncultured organism. RNAcentral describes it as "partial 16S ribosomal RNA". It matches the Rfam family "Bacterial small subunit ribosomal RNA", at positions 527 to 896 of the family's 1533-position model. The record is from RNAcentral.
GUAGGUGGCAAGCGUUGUCCGGAAUUAUUGGGCGUAAAGCGCGCGCAGGCGGUCCUUUAAGUCUGAUGUGAAAGCCCGCGGCUCAACCGUGGAGGGUCAUUGGAAACUGGGGGACUUGAGUACAGAAGAGGAAAGCGGAAUUCCAAGUGUAGCGGUGAAAUGCGUAGAGAUUUGGAGGAACACCAGUGGCGAAGGCGGCUUCUGGUCUGUAACUGACGCUGAGGCGCGAAAGCGUGGGGAGCAAACAGGGAUUAGAUACCCUGGUAGUCCACGCCGUAAACGACGAGUGCUAAGUGUUAGGGGGUUUCCCGCCCCCCUUUGUGCUGCAGCUAACGCAUUAAGCACUCCGCCUGGGGAGUACGGCCGCAAGGCUG